GUCGUAAAAGGGGACGCGGAGGAGAAGGAAAGUCGCUCAAGCAGUGGACAGAGCGGAGAAAGCGACUUCGGGUCUGCUGGAGUUUGCUGGAGGUGCACUCCAGACUCUGUUUGCCUGCCUAUCACCAACAGAGGCUGCAGAACAGCAAAGAUUGCUGUCUGUAACUUCCUCUGGAAGCUUCAUCCCAGAGGGGCACCUGCCAGAUGCCAGCCGGAGCUCUCCUCUAUGAGUUCAGCCUGAGAAAACUCCUGAGCAUGUGCGAAAAAGAAAAGAAGAAAAGAAAAGUAAAGAAAAGAAAAAAGGAAAAAGGGCAAGCUCCUGAGUGGAUCUCUCAGGGAGCCACCAGACAGUGAAUGAAGGAGGGAAGAAAGGAGAGACAGAGAAAAUAUGGAUUUCCUCAUGGUUGUGAUUCCUCUUCACUCUUUUGAAUUUGGAAGGAUGGCAUACACAUCUGAAAAAUACCACUACUUCCUUCAUUGGACUGCAAGGUAUUUCUGUUUGGAAAAGUAAUGGAGUCCAGUCAACUUCAUUGAUCGCCAAGGACUGUCAAAAUUAUAAAACUUGCUGUGGAGCUCUGACAUGCCAGAAGCCGCUAGAAAAAGAAGUUUGACAUUCAGAAACUUAUCAAGAGGUUCUACUCUUUGGAUAGAGACCAAAAUCAUACUUUGAAUGAUAUGCAAUGCAAGACUCCCAAGAUUCUGGGCAGUGGCAGGGAGGUGCAGCUUCUAGUCUGCCGCAUGAUCACAAUGUCAGCUGGUCCCUCUUCUCAGGUGUAGAUCACCUAUUAUAAUUUUACCUAAUUUUGAUACUCUGAUAAGGAAAGUCCCAGGACUUAUCAGCUGGGAUAGGCCUCACUUACAAGACAGCUCUGUUCAGUAUUUGGAAGAAAGCCUGACAGGUUUCUUCGGAAAAGUGGCCAUCCAUGGAAUGAAUGAAAUGUUCUCUUUCUAUUCCAGGGAUUGCAGUGGCAAAGCUAGGCUAGGUCUUGGAGGCUGGUGUAAGGCGAUGUGGGUGAAGGCAGGAGGCUGAUGGAAAGACUGGGGGGAAGAAAAGCCGAAAUGGAUUCACGGUGCCUUGGAUGAAGGACGAGAGGGGAACUGCAAGCUCCUUCAACUGGUUCUGUCCGGUGAGAAGUGAUCAAGCUUGGGCUGACAAGAGGCUCAGGGAGCCCUCACGUUCUUUCGCUUUUUUACCUGCCAAUCAAACUGCUACAAGACAACACCCUGAUCUGGCAUGGACAUAUCCAACUUAGAAAUAAUGUUUCAUUCAAGAUAAGGCUCGUGGCUUAGGAGAUUGUGACCUGGCUUGCAUCAUUCUAAGACUUCUAUCGUCUGUUUUCAAAACCCAAGGAGGACCUCCUUUUCUGUGUGAUAGUUCCUCAUGCUUUGCCAGCCACUGGGUCUUUAAGGAAGCUUGCCAAGAGUUCCCGGCUGGGAAGGACAGUUCGAGUUCAUCAUAGACAAUGAGCUGGCACCACAGUUUAAGUGACUCACCAACCUGGUUGCCCACUUCAAAAUGUCAAGAACCACACUAUCUAAUUGAAAGAACUGUGUUUUAGCAAAGUGUAAUUGGAUCGCCUGGCAAGAUCAUCUCAAACUAUGUCUCUGACCUUGCCUUUCAGUGGCUAUUUUGAGCACAAGAGGAGAAAGGAAAUGAUUCCUGAAUUAUAUCUUGUUUUUAAAAAUUAAGAUUAAUUAAUACUUGGUUUUAUGUUCAUUCCAUUGUAGGAACUUAGUGAUUAUUACAAAACAGUCAAAAUAGGUCAUAGCAAAAUGAACGUUUAAGAUUAGGUUAAAACAUUCCUCUGAAAUUUUAGUAUUCACUUUUGAAGUGUCAAUUACUAUAUUUCUGUAAUUUCUCAUUUUUUUCUUGGCUUAGAGUCAAGAUGAAAAAUGAUAUUUGAAUCAAAGACAUUGUUUUGUUAUAUAGCCACUCCUUUCUAAAAUGCAAAUCCACCCUCCCCUCACCAAUGCUUUAUUCUUUGUGCGCGCACACACACACACACACACACACACACACACACACACACACAGACAUACACAGAACCAGCACCCAAAUGGUAGAGGAGGUCCUUCCAAGACUUCUAGGACCUGGAUCAUGUAAGCAGUAGAUGAGAAAAUGAAGUAAGAGAUAUAGAGUAAUAACAAUAAAAGUCAAUGAUUUCAUUUUACAAAAAAGUCAUUGUGUAGUACUCAGAUAUUUUUAAGAGCAAGUAUUAUUAUGACUAAAGUAUAUUAUACUUCUAAAUUAUUAUGAUUCUCAUCUAAUUUCAAGCCACACAUAGGCGCCAUUUGAAAGCAUUUUGUGUUACAACCUAUCAACAAAAAUCAACUAAUAGUUUUAUAACGUGCAUAGGUUUACCCCAUGGGGAAUUAAAAUUUUUAUCUGCAAGUAUUUCUGUUGUUGUGAGACUUUAGGACAAGACAACAUUUGGUGUUAACAUAGAAGAAUAUUCUAUGGCUUUUUUAGCUUUAAAGUUCAUUACUCUAAAAUAAAGUACACGUGGUAUUUUUUUCUUCCUAGUGUUCUCUUAUUAUAUGUAGAGUAUUUUCGGUUGUUGUUUUUAACGUAUACAUUAUUUUUAUUAAGUCAUUUCAUAAAAGAUAAGAUAUAUACUAAUAGACCCUUGGUUUUCUCCUAAUUUAAUUAUUUCAAGUCAAGCAAAAUUGGGCAAUUUUCUUUCAGGAAAAAAAAAAUAUUGAGCAUGAUUUUGAGGUAAAACUGAUUAUUUACAGCAUCUUUUCUCUAAUAGGCUAACAUUUAUGAUGGAUCUUAUUUCAAAGUUGAUUAUUCUCAAAGAAAAGUGGAGAUAUUAGAAUUUCCGAGUAAAUUGCAUUGUUUUAAAAAGUACUUUAAUGCAUUGUUCACAUUGUUGCCAGCUAUUGACCAAAAAAGAGAAGAAGAAAAAAGAAAUAAAAAAAGCAGUAUCUGCUCCAAACGUCAAGUUUUGCAGUUUGAAAGACUUGUACAUUAUAAUUGUUUUUUUCUUUUUUGGAAAGCAGUAGUAAUUAAUACCAAAGGCAUAGACAAUUUAGGGCCAUAACCUCCCUUCCCCCCUCUCCACCUUUUUUUUUUUUUUUUUUUUUUUUUAACUUUAACCAUGAUAGGCAUCUCUGCAAGGUAGGUUUUAACAUAUUUUUUUCCUAAUUUUUUUCCCUCCAUUCAGUAAGAAGGAUAAGCUUUUAGAGUACCCAGUCACCGUGGUAACUGCCAAAAAAAUUCUCCUGAAGUUUGAAGAGGUCAGCUAGCAGGGUCAACAACCCUGGCCUCUCUCUGAGCUCGGUCUAGCAUGCCCCAGCCUGCGGUUGGAGUGUCAGGCCAGAUCUGACCCUGGGAGGUGGACCAUUCUGGCUCUGAUAUAAAUUUUUCGAGUCAGUUCAUGGCCUGGACUCUCCAGGUGGCCUCCAAAAUCGAUUUUGACCCCCUGACCCUGUCUCACGGAGGCAUAGCAUCCACCCUAAGUAAGGAUUUAGCCAGGAAUGACAGCUUUCCACUGAGUGUUAUUGGGGACAGUAUAAACAGUUUGGAAAGCAAGUAAGGAGGUGUGAGGGCUAGCAAUCAUUAAAAGCACAUUAAAAAACAAUUUUUAAAAAUCUUUAUUAGAGAAAGUUGUAAAUGCAUAUCUGUUACAGAAUUCCUGUGAUUUGUAGAGUUUUCUAGUCAGUUUUGAAUAUAAAUAGGUCACAUAUCUUUAUCUUUUUGCAUACUUUGUUACAAAUAUGCAAAUAAGAUAGGCAUACUUGCUACAAAAUAGGUACAGCAGGAAUGUAAUAUGUUCAGAAAAGGCAAACUGGUUAUUAAAACACAUUAACAGGUAAGGAGUUUCUAAUAUUUUAAAUACUAAAAUUUUACAUGUGUAUUUUGAAGUUUUUAAAAUGGAAAAAUAAAGAACCUUUAAAAAACCCAACAGUGUGGAAUAAAGAUAAACUUGUUGCACUCAAGGUACAUUUCUACUUUGUAAAGCAAGAAGCCAAUACACUCAGUUGGAUAAAAAUGAGAGAAAAAUUGUAAAUAUAGAGAGUUACAGCUUAUAGAGCUGAAGAGGAAUAAAACAAAAAAAAGUGUCUCUGAAUAACUUUAUGUAUUUUCAACAGUUUAAGAUAUCAGAAACUUGGAAAAUAAAUAUGAUAUAUAUAUAAAUCAUCA
Molecule: long non-coding RNA, 4146 nt
Filed under: Homo sapiens (human)
Lineage: Eukaryota; Metazoa; Chordata; Mammalia; Primates; Hominidae
Description: PREDICTED lncRNA (TCONS_00188973)
Rfam family: SOX2 overlapping transcript exon 3 (bases 966-1241)
Source: RNAcentral